Molecule: ribosomal RNA, 446 nt
Filed under: uncultured bacterium
Lineage: Bacteria
Description: bacterial SSU rRNA
Rfam family: Bacterial small subunit ribosomal RNA
Source: RNAcentral
GCCAGACUCCUACGGGAGGCAGCAGUGGGGAAUAUUGCACAAUGGGGGAAACCCUGAUGCAGCGACGCCGCGUGAGUGAAGAAGUAUUUCGGUAUGUAAAGCUCUCUCAGCAGGGAAGAAAAUGACAGUACCUGACCAAGAAGCCCCGGCUAACUACGUGCCAGCAGCCGCGGUAAUACGUAGGGGGCAAGCGUUAUCCGGAUUUACUGGGUGUAAAGGGAGCGUAGACGGCAAUACAAGUCGGAAGUGAAAUACCCGGGCUUAACCUGGGAACUGCUUUGGAAACUGUAUGGCUGGAGUGCUGGAGAGGUAAGCGGAAUUCCUAGUGUAGCGGUGAAAUGCGUAGAUAUUAGGAGGAACACCAGUGGCGAAGGCGGCUUACUGGACAGUAACUGACGUUGAGGCUCGAAAGCGUGGGGAGCAAACAGGAUUAGAUACCCCCGUAA